AUUGAACGCUGGCGGAAUGCUUUACACAUGCAAGUCGAACGGCAGCACGGACUUCGGUCUGGUGGCGAGUGGCGAACGGGUGAGUAAUGUAUCGGAACGUGCCCAGUCGUGGGGGAUAACGUAGUGAAAAUUACGCUAAUACCGCAUACGAUCUAUGGAUGAAAGCGGGGGAUCGCAAGACCUCGCGCGAUUGGAGCGGCCGAUAUCAGAUUAGGUAGUUGGUGGGGUAAAGGCCCACCAAGCCAACGAUCUGUAGCUGGUCUGAGAGGACGACCAGCCACACGGGAACUGCGACACGGUCCAGACUCCUACGGGAGGCAGCAGUGGGGAAUUUUGGACAAUGGGCGCAAGCCUGUUCCAGCCAUGCCGCGUGCAGGAUGAAGGCCUUCGGGUUGUAAACUGCUUUUGUACGGAACGAAAAGACUCCUUCUAAUAAAGGGGGUCCAUGACGGUACCGUAAGAAUAAGCACCGGCUAACUACGUGCCAGCCGCCGCCGUAA
RNAcentral lists this ribosomal RNA (500 nucleotides) under uncultured bacterium. Its description in RNAcentral is "partial 16S ribosomal RNA". It matches the Rfam family "Bacterial small subunit ribosomal RNA", at positions 30 to 523 of the family's 1533-position model. The record is from RNAcentral.